AGAGUUUGAUCAUGGCUCAGGACGAACGCUGGCGGCGUGCCUAACACAUGCAAGUCGAGCGGUUCGUUACUUAACACUGAGUGUUCAGAGGAAACAAUGAAUACUGAGUGUUAAGUAACGGAUAGCGGCGGACGGGUGAGUAACGCGUGGGCAACCUACCUUUCACAGGGGGAUAACACAGGGAAACUUGUGCUAAUACCGCAUAACAUUAAGAAGCGACAUCGCUUUUUAAUCAAAGGAGAAAUCCAGUGAAAGAUGGGCCCGCGUCCGAUUAGCUAGUUGGUGGUGUAAUGGACCACCAAGGCGACGAUCGGUAGCCGAACUGAGAGGUUGAUCGGCCACAUUGGGACUGAGACACGGCCCAGACUCCUACGGGAGGCAGCAGUGGGGAAUAUUGCACAAUGGAGGAAACUCUGAUGCAGCAACGCCGCGUGAAGGAUGAAGGUUUUCGGAUUGUAAACUUCUUUGAUUGGGGACGAAUAAAUGACGGUACCCAAGGAACAAGCCACGGCUAACUACGUGCCAGCAGCCGCGGUAAUACGUAGGUGGCGAGCGUUGUCCGGAAUUACUGGGUGUAAAGGGCGUGUAGGCGGGACUGUAAGUCAGAUGUGAAAUUCCAGGGCUUAACUCUGGAGCUGCAUCUGAAACUAUGGUUCUUGAGUGCUGGAGAGGAAAGCGGAAUUCCUAGUGUAGCGGUGAAAUGCGUAGAUAUUAGGAGGAACACCAGUGGCGAAGGCGGCUUUCUGGACAGUAACUGACGCUGAGGCGCGAAAGCGUGGGGAGCAAACAGGAUUAGAUACCCUGAUAGUCCACGCUGUAAACGAUGGAUACUAGGUGUAGGAGGUAUCGACCCCUUCUGUGCCGCAGUUAACACAAUAAGUAUCCCACCUGGGGAGUACGGCCGCAAGGUUGAAACUCAAAUGAAUUGACGG
RNAcentral lists this ribosomal RNA (932 nucleotides) under uncultured bacterium. RNAcentral describes it as "bacterial SSU rRNA". It matches the Rfam family "Bacterial small subunit ribosomal RNA", at positions 8 to 916 of the family's 1533-position model. The record is from RNAcentral.